Molecule: ribosomal RNA, 1560 nt
Filed under: Alcaligenes faecalis
Lineage: Bacteria; Pseudomonadati; Pseudomonadota; Betaproteobacteria; Burkholderiales; Alcaligenaceae
Description: bacterial SSU rRNA
Rfam family: Bacterial small subunit ribosomal RNA
Source: RNAcentral
GGGGGGGGGGGGGGGGGGUUUUUUUUUUAGGUUUUUAACACGCUCAGAUUGAAUUGCUAGCCGGGGGUGUUUACACAUGCAAGUCGUAGCGGCAAGGCCCAGAGAGCUUGCUCUCUUGGCGGCGAGUGGCGGACUGGGUGAGUAAUAUAUCGGAACGUGCCCAGUAGCGGGGGAUAACUACUCGAAAGAGUGGCUAAUACCGCAUACGCCCUACGGGGGAAAGGGGGGGAUCGCAAGACCUCUCACUAUUGGAGCGGCCGAUAUCGGAUUAGCUAGUUGCUGGGGUAAUGGCUCACCAAGGCAACGAUCGGUAGCUCGUUUGAGAGGACGACCAGCCACACUGGGAGUGAGACACGCCCCAGACUCCUACGGGAGGCAGCAGUGGGGAAUUUUGGACAAUGGGGGAAACCCUGAUCCAGCCAUCCCGCGUGUAUGAUGAAGGCCUUCGGGUUGUAAAGUACUUUUGGCAGAGAAGAAAAGGUAUCCCCUAAUACGGGAUGCUGCUGACGGUAUCUGCAGAAUAAGCACCGGCUAACUACGUGCCAGCAGCCGCGGUAAUACGUAGGGUGCAAGCGUUAAUCGGAAUUACUGGGCGUAAAGCGUGUGUAGGCGGUUCGGAAAGAAAGAUGUGAAAUCCCAGGGCUCAACCUUGGAACUGCAUUUUUAACUGCCGAGCUAGAGUAUGUCAGAGGGGGGUAGAAUUCCACGUGUAGCAGUGAAAUGCGUAGAUAUGUGGAGGAAUACCGAUGGCGAAGGCAGCCCCCUGGGAUAAUACUGACGCUCAAACACGAAAGCGUGGGGAGCAAACAGGAUUAGAUACCCUGGUAGUCCACGCCCUAAACGAUGUCAACUAACUGUUGGGGCCGUUAGGCCUUAGUAGCGCAGCUAACGCGUGAAGUUGACCGCCUGGGGAGUACGGUCGCAAGAUUAAAACUCAAAGGAAUUGACGGGGACCCGCACAAGCGGUGGAUGAUGUGGAUUAAUUCGAUGCAACGCGAAAAACCUUACCUACCCUUGACAUGUCUGGAAAGCCGAAGAGAUUUGGCCGUGCUCGCAAGAGAACCGGAACACAGGUGCUGCAUGGCUGUCGUCAGCUCGUGUCGUGAGAUGUUGGGUUAAGUCCCGCAACGAGCGCAACCCUUGUCAUUAGUUGCUACGCAAGAGCACUCUAAUGAGACUGCCGGUGACAAACCGGAGGAAGGUGGGGAUGACGUCAAGUCCUCAUGGCCCUUAUGGGUAGGGCUUCACACGUCAUACAAUGGUCGGGACAGAGGGUCGCCAACCCGCGAGGGGGAGCCAAUCUCAGAAACCCGAUCGUAGUCCGGAUCGCAGUCUGCAACUCGACUGCGUGAAGUCGGAAUCGCUAGUAAUGGCGGAUCAGAAUGUCGCGGUGAAUACGUUCCCGGGUCUUGUACACACCGCCCGUCACACCAUGGGAGUGGGUUUCACCAGAAGUAGGUAGCCUAACCGUAAGGAGGGCGCUUACCACGGUGGGAUUCUGAUGGGGGGAAAUCUAGAAAAAACCCCCCCCAAAAAAAAAAAAGCGGGGAAAAAAAAAAA